GGCCUCAUGGUGUAAAUUAACACGGAAAGUUGCAAACUUUCAGAUUUUUAGAGGUUA
RNAcentral lists this transfer RNA (57 nucleotides) under Caprella penantis. RNAcentral describes it as "tRNA-Cys". Lineage: Eukaryota; Metazoa; Arthropoda; Malacostraca; Amphipoda; Caprellidae. The record is from RNAcentral.